UUUAUGGUGGAGAAUCUCUCAAUAACAGCUUAGGAAGCUUCCUAGAAGCUGCAUAGCAUAUUAACUUGAGCCACAAAUCAAAAUUUUGGGGAUCUUUUAAGAAAAAGUAGAAAUUAAAAGUGACCAAAAGGGUAAAAUGAAGUCUGAAGUUUGUCCUAAUUGUUUGCAUAUAAAGGCAUGCCAUCCCUGUCUUGCAAGGAAGAUUUGGAGAGGAGGAAAAUCAGAGAGGAAAACUCCAAGGGCUACAUUUUUUUACUGUUACAUUAAAUUCCUUCUUUGUUUCUUUUAAGAUUAAAAAAAUAAAAAUAAUUCCUGGUACUUAAAAGUUAAAAGAUGGAUUGAGCUGGGGUUUUUAUUUUAAAAGAGGUCGAGCUUUGAAGAAUGCUAAAGCUACUUCUCGAUUGAGUUUGGUUUUAAAGUGUUUCAAGUCAUUUUUUUCUCUGCUUAUUCCUAGUUGCUGAGCUACUAUUGUGGUGCUGCUUGAUAAUGACUUUCCUUUGCUUUCCUACAUUUCAUAUUCCAAGCACAUGUUGCUAAAUCCAUCUCACGUGAAGUUUUGGUAUUGAAAUGAAGUGAAAUCCGGAGUUCCAAACAUGGCUUCUGCAUAUUCAAAUCAAUUAGUUUAGUUUCAGUUGUUUCUUUUAGUUAAUUGAUGUAUUGUAUACUCAACAUGAACCUGUCACUGUUAAAGUUGGUAUGGCCUUUGCAGUAAUUUCAUUUUCUGUUGAUUCUUAUUAUUGUAACUGGUUUUGGACUGUUUGAGUCAAGAGACUUGAAAAAUGCUGACCAUCAGCUGAGUGUUGUGAU
Molecule: long non-coding RNA, 807 nt
Filed under: Nicotiana benthamiana
Lineage: Eukaryota; Viridiplantae; Streptophyta; Magnoliopsida; Solanales; Solanaceae
Description: long non-coding RNA (NBEN_LNC004100)
Source: RNAcentral